UAGGGAAUAUUGCGCAAUGGGGGGAACCCUGACGCAGCAACGCCACGUGUGGGAAGAAGCAUUUCGGUGUGUAAACCACUGUCGGAAAGGAAUAACGGAAGACUUCGGUCUUUAUGAAUGUACUUUUAGAGGAAGCACCGGCAAACUUCGUGCCAGCAGCCGCGGUAAUACGAGGGGUGCAAGCGUUGUUCGGAAUCACUGGGCGUAAAGGGAGCGUAGGCGGAAGUGCAAGCAAUCUGUAUAAUCCUGGGGCCCAACCCCAGUUCUGCAGAUUGGACUGUAUUUCUUGAAUAGUUCAGAGGCAAGCGGAAUUUCUGGUGUAGCGGUGGAAUGCGUAGAGAUCAGAAAGAACACCAAUGGCGAAGGCAGCUUGCUGGGGACUUAUUGACGCUGAGGCUCG
This 400-nucleotide ribosomal RNA is filed under the name uncultured bacterium. RNAcentral describes it as "bacterial SSU rRNA". It matches the Rfam family "Bacterial small subunit ribosomal RNA", at positions 355 to 755 of the family's 1533-position model. The record is from RNAcentral.